AAAGUCGUAACAAGGUCUCCGUUGGUGAACCAGCGGAGGGAUCAUUACCGAGUUUACAACUCCCAAACCCCAGUGUGAACGUUACCAAUCUGUUGCCUCGGCGGGAUCUCUGCCCCGGGCGCGUCGCAGCCCCGGAUCCCAUGGCGCCCGCCGGAGGACCAACCAAAAACUCAUUUUUCUCUCCGUCGCGGCUCCGUCGCGGCUCUGUUAUAAUUUGCUCUGAGCCUUUCUCGGCGACCCUAGCGGGCGUCUCGAAAAUGAAUCAAAACUUUCAACAACGGAUCUCUUGGUUCUG
Molecule: unclassified non-coding RNA, 295 nt
Filed under: Ascomycota sp.
Lineage: Eukaryota; Fungi; Ascomycota
Description: partial contains small subunit ribosomal RNA, internal transcribed spacer 1, and 5.8S ribosomal RNA
Rfam family: Eukaryotic small subunit ribosomal RNA (bases 1-47)
Source: RNAcentral